Molecule: ribosomal RNA, 1539 nt
Filed under: Triticum aestivum (bread wheat)
Lineage: Eukaryota; Viridiplantae; Streptophyta; Magnoliopsida; Poales; Poaceae
Description: partial small subunit ribosomal RNA
Source: RNAcentral
AUGCCAAUUCUUUUCUCACAAGAGCUGCUCAUCUCCGUAGUGGUUGUGCUGCUUGUUCCCCUCUACCUGUACCUCAGGGCUAGUUGUAGAUCAAAGAACCCAGCAGUGCUCCCAACAAACUGGCCAAUACUGCACAUGUUCCCUUCCUUAGUGGCCAACAUCCACAACAUCCAUGACUAUGGCACCCUGGUCUUCGCUGGAUCAGGCCACAACUUCAGGGCGCACAGCCCACCCGGGACUGGAAUGCGAUUCUUCGUCACAUGCGACCCUAGGAACGUUCGACACAUCUUUACAACCAACUACACCAAUUUCCCCAAGGGCGCGGAGUUCGCUGCUAUCUUCGACAUCAUGGGCGGCAGCCUCUUCACCAUCGACGGCGAGCCGUGUCCUAGGCAGCGUGCCAAAGUCAAGGGCGUGCUCAGCAAUCCACGGUUCGUUGCUAGGAUUGCGGCUUGUUGCCGUGACAAGGUGAAGAACAUCCUGCUCCCUUUAUUUACCCACAUGGCGAGCACCGGCACCCCGUUCGACAUGCAAGAAAUGAUGUCGAGGUUUAUGUUUGACCUGGCUGCUACGGCUCUCUUCAGCGUGGACCCGGGCCUCCUAUCCCCGGACAUGCCACCCAUGGACGCCGCAGUCGCCAUGGAUAUAGUCAUGGAGGUGGGUUUUCUCCGACACGUGAUGCCGGCUUCUUGCUGGAAGUUGAUGAAGCAGCUAAACAUCGGCCCUGAGAGAAAGCUUCGCAUGGCGCACAGGGUGCUACGAGUGUUCGUUGUGGAGAUGAUGAAGAGGAGGAAGAUCAACACAUGUCAUGUUGGUAACGACGAGGAACAAGAUGGUGUGGAUUUUGUGUCUUCGUUCCUCCAUGACCCUGAGUAUGCUGAUGAUGACUUGUUCCAUGCUAUGAUGAUUGGUUACAUGGUCGCUGCAAGGGAUACAGUUGGAACUACCCUUACAUGGUUCUUCUACAACCUCACCCAGAACCCUAAGAUCGUGCCAAUCAUCCGCAAUGAACUCUCACCCAUUGCAUCAAACAAAGUAGCGUCUAGGGUAGGUGCCAUGGUGAUCUUUGAACCGGACGAGACCAAAUCUCUAGUGUAUCUGAGAGCCGCCUUGUACGAGACUCUCAGGUUGUACCCACCGGCGCCAAUCGAGCGCAAGACGGUGUUCGGCGAUGAUAUCAUGCCAAGUGGCCACCAGGUGCAAGCCGGCGACACCAUCUUUAUUUCUCUUCACUCCAUGGGUAGAAUGGAGGGCUUGUGGGGUAAAGACUGCCUCGACUAUAACCCAGAUAGGUGGCUCUCGGAUGAUGGCAACAACCUGAAGUAUGUACCAUCUCACAAGUUUUUAGCCUUUAACUCAGGCCCGAGAAUGUGCCUCGGAAAGGACAUCGCUAUUAUGCAGAUGAAGACUGUCGUCGCCACAAUGGUGUGGAACUUCGAUGUGCAAGCAGUGGAAGGGCAGAGCAUUCAACCCAAGCCGUCUUGUAUACUGGAGAUGAAGAAUGGGCUCAUGGUUAAACUGAAGAAGCGAGAAAUUUAA